UAAAAACUUCCAGUUGACAGAGAGCUUAUUUUUCCAUGGACACCUGAGCCCGACCAAGCGUCUAAAGGCUCACCGCCAUUCCGAGAGCAGGAGGACGGCCAGGCUCCUAGACGACACGCCAGCUGACCAGAGAGAACAAUGAAACGGAGCAUAAUAUAACAAAAAUGCAACGGUGUGCUACAUCGUCACAUACGUGUGCGAAGACUCCAGUGACCACAACACCACUGAGAAAUUUAUGUGCCUCCCUUACUGCCAAAGGCAAAAGUCAAAACUUAACUUCAUCUGCUAUGGACUGAGGAGAAUUUUCAACACGACUUACCAGCUAUCAGCUCAAACAUGGUACUAACUGAGGUGAGUCCUUGGGUGCUCCACACGUCAGAGAUUAAAUCAUUCUUACAGGAGCUUUUGCCUGCAAACGGUAACAAUGGGUCCAGCCUUCCUAAGGACUCGUAUCACAGGGAGCCACAUGGAGACACUCAUUUGUAUGGAGGGACCUGUAAAGGUGUCAAUCCCAGAGAGGAGCAUGAAAUAAGGGUUUUACAAAUGCUGCCAACAAGUCCGGGUCAGAAAAGGAACGAGUGUGUAGGGCUCAGGCCUUACACACCCUCCCAGACGCAGAGCGACUGUCCAGCAGCCUGCAGUACCUGCAUCUACAGAGAAACCUACCAUGUCAUAAACUACACGAAACUGAACAUAAUAAAGACAGCGAACAGA
Long non-coding RNA from Brienomyrus brachyistius, 714 nucleotides. RefSeq lists it as uncharacterized. NCBI's taxonomy places the organism in Eukaryota, Metazoa, Chordata, Actinopteri, Osteoglossiformes, Mormyridae. The record is from RefSeq and is a predicted model, not a curated record. The transcript is spliced from 3 exons.